CGAACUUUUAUCAUAGGGACACAAACUAAGGGCUUACUCUGGCUACAACAAAAAAUAAAUUAUUUUAAAAAUAUUCAACGAGUGUAGAACAACCUAUUGCCAGAAGUGCAAGUGAUCCACUGGCUUGAAAAUAAUGGCAUUGAUGACUAAGACUGGACUAACACAGUGGUUGUUGCUGGCACUACUUUGUGCUAACACACUCCAUUUCGUUUCUGGGAAAGCGCUCGUCAGAAAGACUGGAGGAAGUCCAUCGUCUCAGAGAGACUCGCCCCGUCUCAAGCCUCACAAGUCAUUCCUCCGCCACCUUUAUUUCUCUCUUCAACAUGGCGCUGUGCUAAACUUGGAAGAGAAACUGAAUCACAUCACCCAGAAAAGCGAACCACAGCGACUUCCCUUGCACCGACAGACACGUCAGCUGUCUGCAGAUUCUUUCCAUUUUAAUACUAAAAAUCUGAGGUGGUUCAAUAGUCUCUUUCCUUUGCUUAAUACCCCGCCUGCAGAACCCGAACCUAAUCCGACACCGGAGCUAGGUUACCCCUGCUGCUUUCCUGCUUGAAAUGCAGGGGAGAAUCAUGUGUGCUUAGCACGUGUGUAAUACCUGACUAUACGGCAAACAACAAAAGGAAAAUGAAUUUUAAAAGAGAAAAUAGAUGUUACAAGCAUAGAAAAACAACAUAAUAAAAAUGUUAAUUUCUACAGCACGUCUCCCCUCCAUCAAAGCGCUUUACGAAAACAACAAACAUAGCAAUAACAACAAUUAAAUAUCUGCUAAAAAGUGCAUGCAUGUCUGUUCUAGAACUGAAAAAGUAUAUGAGCAAUCACGAACCAGUCUAGAACGAAUGUUAGCACGUGAUCUAGCAGCAACGGCGACAAAGUUGACAUAGAGGAACAUAUAGUUGUCCAGUUUUGCAAUAUUGUAGAUGAAACAUAGAGGGUUAGUCUAGCAGACGGUUGAUAUGUUUUUUAAAAAAUCAGCAAGGGAGAUGAUCCGUAGAGCAGACAAUGUGAACAGCUACUGUAAAGGGGAGAGAAUUAAAAGCGGGGGAAAAAAUAAUGUCAGGCGAACAGAACUGUGUACAUGAAUGCUCAAACAAUAAUUAAGAAAUAUGACAUACCGGAUGGAAUAACAUUUGUGAAGCAUA
This is a long non-coding RNA of Pomacea canaliculata, 1142 nucleotides long. RefSeq lists it as uncharacterized. The record is from RefSeq and is a predicted model, not a curated record. The transcript has 2 exons. Lineage: Eukaryota; Metazoa; Mollusca; Gastropoda; Architaenioglossa; Ampullariidae.